AGUGAACGCUGGCGGUAGGCCUAACACAUGCAAGUCGAACGGCAGCACAGUAAGAGCUUGCUCUUACGGGUGGCGAGUGGCGGACGGGUGAGGAAUACAUCGGAAUCUACUUUUUCGUGGGGGAUAACGUAGGGAAACUUACGCUAAUACCGCAUACGACCUACGGGUGAAAGCAUGGGAUCUUCGGACCUUGCGCGAUUGAAUGAGCCGAUGUCGGAUUAGCUAGUUGGCGGGGUAAAGGCCCACCAAGGCGACGAUCCGUAGCUGGUCUGAGAGGAUGAUCAGCUACACUGGAACGGAGACACGGUCCAGACUCCUACGAGAGGCAGCAGUGGGGAAUAUUGGACAAUGGGCGCAAGCCUGAUCCAGCCAUACCGCGUGGGUGAAGAAGGCCUUCGGGUUGUAAAGCCCUUUUGUUGGGAAAGAAAAGCAGCAGGUUAAUACCCCGCUGUUCUGACGGUACCCAAAGAAUAAGCACCGGCUAACUUCGUG
Molecule: ribosomal RNA, 492 nt
Filed under: uncultured bacterium
Lineage: Bacteria
Description: partial 16S ribosomal RNA
Rfam family: Bacterial small subunit ribosomal RNA
Source: RNAcentral